ACUAUUUUGGCAGAUAAGUGCAUUAGAUUUAGAAUCUAUUAAUGUAGAUUUUUAUUUACAGGUAGUA
Molecule: transfer RNA, 67 nt
Filed under: Anaorotermes echinocolon
Lineage: Eukaryota; Metazoa; Arthropoda; Insecta; Blattodea; Termitidae
Description: tRNA-Leu
Rfam family: tRNA
About the family: Transfer RNA (tRNA) molecules are approximately 80 nucleotides in length.
Source: RNAcentral